AGAGUUUGAUUCUGGCUCAGGACGAACGCUGGCGGCGUGCCUAACACAUGCAAGUCGAACGGAGAUUAAGAGGAGCCUAGCUUCAUUUAAUCUUAGUGGCGGACGGGUGAGUAACGCGUGAGCAACCUGCCUUUCAGAGGGGGAUAACGUUUGGAAACGAACGCUAAUACCGCAUAACAUAUCUAUGUGGCAUCGCAGAGAUAUCAAAGGAGCAAUCCGCUGAAAGAUGGGCUCGCGUCCGAUUAGCUAGAUGGUGGGGUAACGGCCUACCAUGGCGACGAUCGGUAGCCGGACUGAGAGGUUGAACGGCCACAUUGGGACUGAGACACGGCCCAG
Molecule: ribosomal RNA, 336 nt
Filed under: uncultured bacterium
Lineage: Bacteria
Description: bacterial SSU rRNA
Rfam family: Bacterial small subunit ribosomal RNA
Source: RNAcentral